Molecule: long non-coding RNA, 236 nt
Organism: Oppia nitens
Lineage: Eukaryota; Metazoa; Arthropoda; Arachnida; Sarcoptiformes; Oppiidae
Exons: 3
Source: RefSeq, a predicted model, not a curated record
AUUGAUCGAUACAUUUUGGUCAACAAUUUUUCAUUAACAAUUCAAACCCAAUUUGAAUCAAUUAAUAAUUUCCCGAAACAUUUUCCCGAAGUUGUUAGCAGUGUUUUCAACGGUAAGAACCAGAGGUCACUCAAAACUAUAUUCAAAGUUACUAUGCAAUUGAUCCAUACAUUUGGACAACAAUUUUUCAACAAAUAUUUUUCACAUCAAUUCUACAAUGAAACCAAAAUAAGGGU